GUGGCGAACGGGUGAGUAACACGUAGGGAACCUGCCCCUAAGACGAGGAUAACUACUGGAAACGGUAGCUAAUACUGGAUAGGAUAAGUUGACGCAUGUUGGCUUAUUUAAAGGUGCCUAUAAAGCACCGCUUAGGGAUGACCCUGCGGCGCAUUAGCUAGUUGGUGGGGUAACGGCCUACCAAGGCGACGAUGCGUAGCUGUGCUGAGAGGCAGAACAGCCACACUGGGACUGAGACACGGCCCAGACUCCUACGGGAGGCAGCAGUAGGGAAUUUUCGGCAAUGGGGGGAACCCUGACCGAGCGAUGCCGCGUGAGUGAUGAAGGUCUUCGGACUGUAAAACUCUGUUAUUAGGGAAGAAUACUAUAGGGAGGAAAUGCCUUAUAGAUGACGGUACCUAAUGAGGAAGCCCCGGCCAACUAUGUGCCAGCAGCCGCGGUAAUACAUAGGGGGCGAGCGUUAUCCGGAAUUACUGGGCGUAAAGGGUGCGUAGGCGGUUUCUUAAGUCUAGUGUGAAAGCCCACG
Molecule: ribosomal RNA, 526 nt
Filed under: uncultured bacterium
Lineage: Bacteria
Description: bacterial SSU rRNA
Rfam family: Bacterial small subunit ribosomal RNA
Source: RNAcentral